UAACCUAAAUCAAAUGGACAAGAUCUUGUCUCUCUAAUCUCUUCUCUUGUAUUUCUUUCCGUCCCUUUCUCUUCUCUUUCACUUUCACUUUUUUUUUCUUCGUUAAUCUCAUGCUUCCUAAUCUCACAGAUUUUGUCUCUCUAGUCUCUUUCUUCAUCACCACUAAACCUUUGUCACAACCAGACCUCGUCUUCGUCUCCCCCACAGCUUGUCGUCUUUACAGCCAUAGCUCGCGUCGUCACCACCAUAGCUUGAUCUAAGAAGGAGCAGGGAAGGAGAAGAAGUGGUGUUUUGUUUUUCUGUUCUUAGUUAAAAAAAAUGCGGAGGAUUUUGUUGCUAGCCACCUCGAGUUAUUUAUGAUAGAGGACGACUACAUCAAGUUAGGGAAGAUGCAAAGAAAACGGCUCGAUCUCAGGGAUUAAAGAA
Molecule: long non-coding RNA, 426 nt
Organism: Brassica oleracea var. oleracea
Lineage: Eukaryota; Viridiplantae; Streptophyta; Magnoliopsida; Brassicales; Brassicaceae
Exons: 3
Source: RefSeq, a predicted model, not a curated record